GGGUUGUGAGGUUAAGCGACUAAGCGUACACGGUGGAUGCCCUGGCAGUCAGAGGCGAUGAAGGGCGUGCUAAUCUGCGAUAAGCGCCGGUAAGGUGAUAUGAACCGUUAUAACCGGCGAUACCCGAAUGGGGAAACCCAGUGUGAUUCGUCACACUAUCAUUAACUGAAUCCAUAGGUUAAUGAGGCGAACCGGGGGAACUGAAACAUCUAAGUACCCCGAGGAAAAGAAAUCAACCGAGAUUCCCCCAGUAGCGGCGAGCGAACGGGGAGGAGCCCAGAGCCUGAAUCAGCAUGUGUGUUAGUGGAAGCGUCUGGAAAGGCGCGCGAUACAGGGUGACAGCCCCGUACACAAAAGCGCAUGUGCUGUGAGCUCGAUGAGUAGGGCGGGACACGUGGUAUCCUGUCUGAAUAUGGGGGGACCAUCCUCCAAGGCUAAAUACUCCUGACUGACCGAUAGUGAACCAGUACCGUGAGGGAAAGGCGAAAAGAACCCCGGCGAGGGGAGUGAAAAAGAACCUGAAACCGUGUACGUACAAGCAGUGGGAGCCCCACCACUAAGCCAGUGGUGAACUCCACAUACGCAUCCUUUGCUGAGGAUACGGUUAACGGAGCGAAAGCGACGUUCAACCUCAAAAGAAGCAGAGGGGGCUUAGUGGUGGGGUGACUGCGUACCUUUUGUAUAAUGGGUCAGCGACUUAUAUUCUGUAGCAAGGUUAACCGUAUAGGGGAGCCGGAGGGAAACCGAGUCUUAAUUGGGCGUUAAGUU
Molecule: ribosomal RNA, 768 nt
Filed under: Salmonella enterica
Lineage: Bacteria; Pseudomonadati; Pseudomonadota; Gammaproteobacteria; Enterobacterales; Enterobacteriaceae
Description: partial 23S ribosomal RNA
Rfam family: Bacterial large subunit ribosomal RNA
Source: RNAcentral